This 4648-nucleotide long non-coding RNA is filed under the name Homo sapiens (human). RNAcentral's name for it is "HSALNT0142203". The record is from RNAcentral. Lineage: Eukaryota; Metazoa; Chordata; Mammalia; Primates; Hominidae.
UAAUAGUAGUUUGAAUGAAUUUAUUCCUACCUUCAACUUUAAAGAGCAAGAGGACAGUGAAGCUGAUUCAAGAAACAGGCAAUGCCACAAAGGAAGAAAACAAGCCUGUAAGAUGAAAUACUUCUACCUGGUUAAUAAAUACAGAAAUCGAUUCUUCCUCCAUUGAAGUCUAUCUUUUCCAAUGGGACCAAUCCACAUGCAGAUGCAAAGGCACUCAUGUUUGCUCAACAUGUAGAAACAAGAAAAUCACACAGAGCAAGAGUGACAGAAAUGUAAGAUGCUAUGGAAUUAUAAAAGAAUCAUGUUUGACUAAGAUGUUGUAAAUGAACUUCUUGUAACAAAAAAGCCAUUUGAACACAAAUUACUGAGCAUCACUGGUCGGAGAGAUCAUUUAUCACUUCUUAAUAAAUGAUCAGACAAUGACCUCAAACCUACGUAAGUCUAAAACAGGGCUUUGAGUUGCUGCUAAAGUGACAAAUUUGAAAAUCUGAUUCACUGUAAUGAAGAUUGAAAACAUAGGUACAAAAACUGAAUGUGAGAAACUGAGUGACUAGCCCGCUUAUCCAAGACCCUUAAGAGGUCUGUGGUUAUCUGAAGUUAAUCGUGGUCUCUGGUUAUCGGUAAAGGCAUAAAUCAGCUCUCUUUAAAAUAGCUUUCCUAAACUAGGCACAAGUGAUUUUUCAGAUUAAGAUUCAGCAGAAAGCUCAUAAUUUAAGAUAGUACAAAGCAAGAGCUUGUAUGUGGAGAAUUAAUAAAUAAGAAAUGUAGUCACCACAACAACUGUAGUUAUUGGAGUUUUCAGAAUGAGAAUAUAGCAAAAUUUUCUAUGAAAUAUAAAAAGACAGAAAAUUUAAUAUAAGAUAAAUAUAUAAUAAAAACUAUCUGAAAAGAAAAGAGAUUUGGGGAAAAAUUAGAACUUCUACGUAUGAAAAACAUAACUAUUAAAAGCAUACUACAUGUUAAACUGAUGAUUAAAUGCAGUUGAGAAGAUAAUUCAUGAGAUGGAAAAUACAAUUGAACAAAUUAACCCUUAGGGAAUAAAAAUAAAAAUAAAGAAAUUAAAGUAUAUACAAAAAAAUCUGGACAAUAUCAAAUAAGAUAGAAUAAGAAGGUUGAGCAUUCAUCUAAUAAGAAGCUCGUAGGAAGAGACAGAAUGAAUGAGAUAUACUAUUCAAAGAUACAAUGAGUACAAAUUUUUCAAAAAUUUUCUUGGAAUUUUAAUGAAUAUCAAGCAGAAUAAAACAAAUAAAAUCUUAUGUGAACAUAUUUUGGAGAAAUUUCUAAAGAACAAAUGCAAAGACAAAAACUUAAAAGACUCAGAUAAAAACAUUGAGAGUGAUAAACUUACUAUAACUAGAGAGAUAUAUAGAUGAUAGAUGAUAGAUAGAUAGAGAUGGAUGAUAGAAUGGAAUGACAAUUUAGAGAUUUUAGAAACGUUAAAAAAUGUUAAGUAAAAAUCACUGCCAACAUAAUAUUGUAAACUCGAGAAAAUACAAGAGUGAAAAGCAGAUUUUACAGAUAAAGGAGAGAAAGAGAAAGAUUGCUGAAAAUAGAAUUAUUCAAAGAAUUUUUACAAAAUGCUCUGUAAGAAGAAAAAUCAAGAAAUAUAGUCUUAAUUACAGAAAAUAAUAUAAAUAAAUGCAACCUUAAAUAUGAACAUGCAUAAAUACUAACAUUCUUUCUUGCAAAGAAAAAAAACAACUAAUUUUCUUCCAGGUUUUCAGUUUUGGGUUUGACAUUUAAAACUUUAAUCCAUCUUGAGUUAAAUUUUAUAUGGUUUAAAGAAGGGGUCCAGUUUCAAUCUUCUGCAUAUGGCUAGCCAGUUAUCCCAGCAUACCAUUUAUUGAAUAGGGAAUCCUUUACCUAUUGCUUGUUUUUGUCAGGUUUGUUGAAGAUCAGAAAAUUGUAGGUGUGCAGUCUUAUUUCUGGGUGCUCUAUUCUGUUCCAUUGGUCAAUGUGUCUGUUUUUGUAUCAGUACCAUGCUGUUUGGGUUACUGUAGCCCUGGAGUAUAGCUUGAAGGAGAUCAUUAUCCCUAGCAAACUAACACAGGAACAGAAAACCAAAUACUGCAUGUUAUCACUAAUAAGUGGGAGCUUAAUGAUGGGAACACAUGGACACAUAGAAAGGAACAACAGACACUGGGCCUUUCAGAGGGAGGAAAGAGGGAGAGGAUAAGGAAAAAUAACUAAUGGGUCCUCGGCUUAAUACUUGGGUAAUGAAAUAAUCUGUACAACAAACUCUCAUGAAACAAGUUUACCUAUGAAACAAACCUGCGUUGUACCCCUAAACUUGAAAUAAAAUUUAUAAACAAAUAAACAAAAAGAAAUGAAUGAAAAGAGAAAAAAAAUACUGAGUAAAAAUAAACAGUAGGUGUUUUUAAGGAAUGAGAUUUUUUGUGUUUUUUUCCGUCUUUACAUUUGUUAUUAUUUAAACACUUCCCAAUGAACAUGCACUACUUGUGUAAUAAAUGUAACUAUUAUUCACAUUUAGUUGACUAUGUUUUAAAACUAACCCAGAGUUUAAUUUUGAUAAUGAUUUUUAAAAGGGAAAAUAACAUAAACUUUUUUCUCUCCUCUUUUCUACUGUGAGAGUGAGCAGUAUUUAUCACACAUACACACACGUCAUAUCUGAAUUCCUCAAAAUGUUAAACAAGUUAUUGCUCUAAAAUUGAUAAGAAAUACAUCAAUCUGUGUAUUUGCUGAUAUAUAUAGUGUAUAAUUUUAAAAUUAUUUCUAUAUUUUAUUCACGUGAAAUUUCUUGAUUCAGUUUAAACUGUUAGUUUUAUGAAAUAUAAUCCACAUCCAUCCUUUUAACUACAAUCACCUGUAUGGGCAACAAUGCAUGUAAGCUUAAUGAGAAACGAGUAUGCAUCCAUACCUGUAGGGGUCAGUUAUUAUUUGCUAUUGUACUCUUUUAUUCAAUACACAAUAAUUUUGUCUAGGAAGGCACACUGAAAAUUUAUAAAAUUUCUACUGAAAAGUGUCUAUUUUACUUACAUCACCAUUUUAGAUUUUCUUUGUUCUCUUUCUUUGCAAUUGAUAACAAAAAAAUUACAAUCAAGGCAUAUGAUAUAUGUUUUUUUCUUCUGUUUUUUGGAAUUAUUUUUCCCCACCUCCAGUAUUACAUUAACUCUAACAUAUACACAGAUAUAUACAGCCAUAGCUGGCUUUGAGCUGGGGAAGGUGUCUACCCUGUCCAUCUCCUUCAUCUAGAAUUCUCAUUUGUCAUACAACCGUCAUCGUCUUUGUUCCAUUAAUUGUUUGAAAGAGAUAAUGUCACAAGAUCUCAGAAUCAAGCUACUUUGUCAAUCUUCCUUUAUCUUAUACAUUUGCCUUCUCUCAGAAACAGAAUUUUAAAAUAAUAACAAGACAGCAAAAACUUUUUCUUUAUCCAGUAAUAGAAUUGGCAGUUUCUAUAAUGAAGGGAAUAUUUUCAGAGGAGGAAAUAUGAGGCCAUGCUACCAAUCAAAAUAGCUAAUAAUUAUAUGUAUAUAUGUCUGUAUAAAAUAUAAUUUCAAAUUGUGUGUUUUGGGGAAAUGCUGAGUUUUAAACAGUUUUAAGUUAUAUGCCUAGGCAUAUAAUAAAAAUGUAUCAAUUGAAUACUCAAUAUAAUUUUAGCUCAUGAAAAAUUGUGUUAUAACUGUGGUAACUGUAAAUAAGUUUUCUGCAAGUUAAACAGAGCAAUGAUAUUCCUUAUGUUCCAGUUAGUAGUGCUGUGAACAAGAGAAAGAUUUCUAGUGCAAUUGAAAAUGCUGAAAACAUUUUCAAAAAAUAUUGUUUGUUGUAUUCAGUUUGUUAUAGCAUUAAUAAAUUUUGCUAUUAUCCAACUUCUCUAAAGUACUUUAAAAAUUUCUAUUUCACUAUUUUAAAAAUAUUGUAACAUCUUCUAGUCUCAAGUAUAAAUUAGUAUAAAUUGUAUGUCAGAAAGCAUUGUCUGUCUCUCACUCUGUGUCUAUGUGCCUAAAUAUAUGUAGAUUUCACUCCAUCUCACUAUGCUACACAUAUACAAGAACAUGUAUAUAUUGAUAGAAAGAGAAAAGUACAUUCCUUCAAGUACAAUUAAAUGACUGGCUAUACUUCCUUGGAAGGGUGACUUGCUAACAUUUCCAAGGUUAGAUUUAUAGAUUUGCAAUGAUUUAAUGCAUAAAGUGCAUUUCCUGGAAAAAUUCAAUUAAUUCCAAUAUUCUCAAAAUCCUUCUUUCUGAGACUUAACAUGUAAAUUUUUUCAUGUUGCCAGUUUUUUAAAUAAAAUAAUAAAAGUUAGCUGCAAAUAAAAUGUAUAUUAAAGAUUGUUGGGUAAUUUUUGUAUGCUAAUAUGCAUUGCAGUUCUUAUUUUUCAAACAAAACAUAUUUAGACUCAAACAUACCUGAUAUUAAAUUUUAAACGUACAUUAUCUCUAAAAAUAAAACAAAAACAAAUUUCAAAUAUAUCAACAACAUCAUAUAUAAAAUACUCAGCUUUCAAAGGCUAUUUUGGGGGGAGGAGCCAAGAUGGCCGAAUAGGAACAGCUCGGUCUACAGCUCCAAGCGUGAGCGACGCAGAAGAUGGGUGAUUUCUGCAUUUCCAUCUGAGGUACCGGGUUCAUCUCACUAGGGAGUGCCAGACAGUGGGCGCAGGUCAGUGGGUGCGCCGUGCGCGAGCCGAAGC